Long non-coding RNA from Fukomys damarensis (Damara mole-rat), 427 nucleotides. RefSeq lists it as uncharacterized. Lineage: Eukaryota; Metazoa; Chordata; Mammalia; Rodentia; Bathyergidae. The record is from RefSeq and is a predicted model, not a curated record. The transcript is spliced from 3 exons.
AGCAAAUUAGUUAAGAAGAAGAGAAUAAAAACCUGACUCUACGACAGCAGAAGGGCAGAGCAGCAGAUGGAGAAACUCAAGCUGACAAAUGGCUCACCUGAUAGGCACUUUGAAAGUGGCAGAAAAUGGGGACCCUAUCCAAAACUUUAAUCUCUACACAAUAUUGUUUCCCUUAAUAUAUUGAUGUGAGUAUUCAAAUCUGGGAAGACACAGAUACUAAAGAGAAGAUUAUUUCACUGAGGAGGAGGUUUAUAUCCAAGGAGACUCUUUCAUACCUUCAGGAUCUGGAAAGGGGAAAAAGCAAGUCACAGAACAAGGUCUCAUUCACUGGUGCUUGGUUAGUGUCUGCACAGGAGAACACAGAGCUGAACAGCAAUCAGUUGAGAAUUGUUGCAUCUGCCCAGAGGAGGGGAAAAUGGGGAGAAUG